UUUGUGGAGAGUUUGAUCCUGGCUCAGGAUGAACGCUGGCGGCGUGCUUAACACAUGCAAGUCGAACGGAAAGGCCAGUGCUUGCACUGGUACUCGAGUGGCGAACGGGUGAGUAACACGUGGGUGAUCUGCCCCGCACUUCGGGAUAAGCCUGGGAAACUGGGUCUAAUACCGGAUAGGACCACUUCUUGGAGGUUGUGGUG
This 203-nucleotide ribosomal RNA is filed under the name Corynebacterium coyleae. Its description in RNAcentral is "partial 16S ribosomal RNA". It matches the Rfam family "Bacterial small subunit ribosomal RNA", at positions 1 to 202 of the family's 1533-position model. Lineage: Bacteria; Bacillati; Actinomycetota; Actinomycetes; Mycobacteriales; Corynebacteriaceae. The record is from RNAcentral.